RNAcentral lists this ribosomal RNA (630 nucleotides) under uncultured bacterium. RNAcentral describes it as "bacterial SSU rRNA". The stretch from base 1 to 539 matches the Rfam family "Bacterial small subunit ribosomal RNA", at positions 338 to 873 of the family's 1533-position model. The record is from RNAcentral.
CCUACGGGAGGCAGCAGUAGGGAAUAUUGGGCAAUGGAGGCAACUCUGACCCAGCCAUGCCGCGUGCAGGAUGAAGGCGUUAUGCGUUGUAAACUGCUUUUAUAUAGGAAGAAAUAGACCUUGCGAGGUAAGUUGACGGUACUAUAUGAAUAAGCACCGGCUAACUCCGUGCCAGCAGCCGCGGUAAUACGGAGGGUGCAAGCGUUGUCCGGAUUUAUUGGGUUUAAAGGGUGCGUAGGCGGUUUAUUAAGUCAGUGGUGAAAGACGGUCGCUCAACGAUUGCAGUGCCAUUGAUACUGGUAGACUUGAGUGUGAUUGAGGUAGCUGGAAUGGAUAGUGUAGCGGUGAAAUGCAUAGAUAUUAUCCAGAACACCAAUUGCGUGGGCAAGUUACUAAGUCACAACUGACGCUGAGGCACGAAAGUGUGGGUAUCAAACAGGAUUAGAUACCCUGGUAGUCCACACUGUAAACGAUANAUAACUAACUAGUGUCGUUUGGUUCGUGUGGUACGAGAGAAGUAGUUAAGUUAGUUACGUACCGUGGGUAGGUACGUUCGGCGUACGGUUAGAACGUACGAAGUUAGAGUUAGACGGCGUUGAGACGNGCGACGGACGACGACGAGGGAGGAGG